This is a long non-coding RNA of Dermacentor andersoni, 380 nucleotides long. RefSeq lists it as uncharacterized. NCBI's taxonomy places the organism in Eukaryota, Metazoa, Arthropoda, Arachnida, Ixodida, Ixodidae. The record is from RefSeq and is a predicted model, not a curated record.
CCGAACACUCAUAAGUUUCAGCGAUCGCCACAGAGGGCGAAACAUCAACCGUGGCCCUUUCCAGCAAGGCGCACGGAAUGUGUCACUACUGGAAGUAACCUCAAGGGCCAUAAUCCUCACAAGGAAGACGAACAAAAGAUAGAUUAUUGGUCUCCGAACUGCCCAUGCCAAGCCAUAAGAAGCUCAAAAGUAGCCGUAACGACAAGUCCUCUUGAACUGCAGGCCUCACUAUGAACUGUUCGCAAUUUUACCAGAUGGGGAAGUGGGGGUGCUAUGCAGGAAAUCAGCAGAAUACAAUUUUGUACUACACCGAGCAAGAAUGUAGCAUACACUUCCUUUUUGAAGCCAUUUUAUGACAAAUAGAGAAAUAAACAUCUUGA